UACGUAGGGACCGAGCGUUGUCCGGAAUCAUUGGGCGUAAAGAGCGUGUAGGCGGCCAACUAAGUCCUGCGUGAAAUCUCGGGGCUCAACCCCGAGCGGUCGUGGGAAACUGGUUGGCUAGAGUGCGGGAGAGGAGAGUGGAAUUCCUGGUGUAGCGGUGAAAUGCGCAGAUAUCAGGAGGAAUACCGGAGGCGAAGGCGGCUUACUAGCCAGACACUGACACUCAGACCCGAAAGUGUGGGGAUCAAACAGG
Molecule: ribosomal RNA, 253 nt
Filed under: uncultured bacterium
Lineage: Bacteria
Description: partial 16S ribosomal RNA
Rfam family: Bacterial small subunit ribosomal RNA
Source: RNAcentral